GGAUGAAAUACAAGAGCUUAUAGGUUCUAAACAUAAAUUUUAAACAAAAAAAUGUAAACAGAUUUUAACUAACAGUUUUUUUUUUGAAAAAUAAGUUUUGGAUAAUAUAAAUUUUUUAAUUAACUGGUCAAAAAGUCAAAAAAAAAAUUCACUGUGGGAUGUGCAAUGCAUGUAGGAGUACAGAUAUAUAUCGAACAUAAAUAUAACAAAAUUUAGUUCUUCUGUUACAAAGAAAGAAUUUAAAAUUACAUAUUUAAUUACGUCAUUCAAAUAAUGUAAUAUAUUUACUUAAUUGCACAUGUGGAUACCAAUAUUUAGCAAAAACAUCAAGACCUAUAAAAAUCUGAAUUUUAUAACAUGACAGGAGGCUUCAUAUUUGCUUAAGUCUCUCUUUACUAGAACUCCACAGCAGCAAAAAAACACAGAGAGUAAACAACCAAUCAGAAAACAGUAAGGAGACAAUAUAACUCAACCUUCUCAACAUUCCAUUCCCUCUUUCUUUGCUGCUCCGCAUCAGUACAGGUCAGCGUACCACUGCAUCCUGCUAUUUUAGUUGGUGGCUGUGCCUUCCUUCUCCCUCUGUGAUGGUAGGGAGUUAACUUUCUGUCAUCCUGCUAUUUUAGUUGGUGGCUGUGAGGUUCAUUCCCCUUAUUCUGUCCCCUUUAUUUCACCCGUUUUUCCGACGCACGGGUUUUGCACUGCUCGGGGGUUUCUGGAGGCCGGCCUGUUGCUGCCUCCUCCGAUUCCCCCAUGCCCCGGGACCGCAGAGUACGUCUCCAGCGGUCCCAUGUGUGCUUCAACCUCCGGUCGCGGGGUGCUCGCGAUCGAGCGCUCUACCUGCCGACCGGUCGCGGCCAGCUCAAUCUGUGGACCGUGUGUGUCCGCCAGGUGGAGGAGGGAACGCUGAACGCUCGCCCCCUCCCCCGCCUGUUAGUAGAUCUUUUCCCUUACGCAUGUGUGUGCUGUCCUGCUGUGGGGUUCCCAUACCGUUAAAGACCGCGGCCUGAGGCCUAUCUAUAUACUGGCGGUCUGGGAACACCCCUUACAUCCCUACAUUUAACCCUAACACUACUGUGAGGCUGCUGGUGUUGGGCAUUUAUCUAUAAAAUCAGUGGCUGUGUGGAUAAUGACUGCAUUGUUAUAUAUGUCACAAGGGUUAUUUAUAAUGAUGGUUUUUCACUGCUGGGUUUCUACACCAGCAUUUAUGUGCCCUAUGGGAGUUUUUCACUGCGUCCCCACUGUACUGUAUCUGUGGCCUACAUUAGACUUUAUCACAGGGUGUGCCAGGAUCCUUAUUUUAUUAAAUAGGAGUGCUCCAGUAUCAGUGACCCUUAUACUGUCUUACACCACUGCUACGUGACCUGGAAUGCUAUGUCUGUGCCCCUAUGACUGGCCUGCUUUGUCUGUGCCCAUAAGAUUGGCCUGCUCUGUCUGUGCCCUUUUGACCGGCCUGCUCUGUCUGUGCCUACUGACUGGCCUGCUCUGUCAGUGCCCUAUUACUGAGCCGGCGCUUGUCCGUGCCUAAAUCCUUACGGCCGCUGGCCUAGGAUAUUAUCUGGGGAGGUUUUUAUACUGAGGUUCGCUGUGACCACGCUGUAGACACUGGGAAUUGUGUCCACAUACAUUGCUCCCAUAAUAACUGGGUGACACCUGUCAUUUCUACCCCCAGGGUCACGCUACGGUCAGGAUAUGGAGGCUCCCACCCAAGAAAGCCUGCAGGCAAUGAUCAGCGCGGCCGUUGCCGCUUCUGUGGAGAAAGCACUCUCACGCGCUCUACCCCAGUCAUCCCAAGAUAAGGAUAUAUCGGAGGCUCAGCACACGCUGAUAGAGUCCGGCCCUGACUCACCGGACAGAGACCAGUCAUGCGCAUCUAAGUGCUACUGGAAAGGUGACGGUCCUGAGCCAUCUACCCGGAAUGGGUAAGGCUCCUGCAAAACAACCCUGACCACUUCAUCUCUGGCACGCCCAAGAUACUUCCCAGAAGAGGAGGAAGAUUUCACCGUCCCAGCACCCUUGUCCAUCCUGGAUGAAUGGCGGGCAGAUCAGUCCCCCUCGGAGGAUGAAGGCAGGUGGGGUGGGGAAGAACCGGAGGAGUUGGUGUACCAACAGGACGUCGGUGAAACUACUUCGCAACACCUACACACCUCCUUUGACAAAGGGGCAGUUCAGUGGAUGCCGGACAAAGGAGGCUUCUUCAGCUCCAUUUUUCUAGUCAGGAAGAAGACGGGAGAUUUCUGUCCG
Non-coding RNA from Pelobates cultripes (western spadefoot toad), 2241 nucleotides. Lineage: Eukaryota; Metazoa; Chordata; Amphibia; Anura; Pelobatidae. The record is from the annotation of a GenBank genome assembly.